RNAcentral lists this long non-coding RNA (316 nucleotides) under Glycine max (soybean). RNAcentral describes it as "long non-coding RNA (GMAX_LNC000106)". Lineage: Eukaryota; Viridiplantae; Streptophyta; Magnoliopsida; Fabales; Fabaceae. The record is from RNAcentral.
UUGUGGAGUUUGGGGUGGUGGGGCUUUUGGGCUUGAAGCAGGUGCAACUUUUGGAGCUGGUGGUGUCACAGGUGCGGGUUUGGGAGCUACAAUUGCAGGUGGCUGGGAUGUAGUUGGUGGUGUACUUGUGGUGGGAGGGGAUGCCACCACUGUUGGUGGUAGUGUUACCGCCAGUGGCGUGCCGGAAGAUGGUGAUGUUGCAGCUGGGGUUGUAGGUGGUGAGUUUGCCGGCGCAGUUGCAGGUGCUUGGGCAUUGGAAGGUAGCUGGCCACAGAGGCUUACCAAAGCCAAAGCCCAGAACACUGCAGCCAUUGUA